This 253-nucleotide ribosomal RNA is filed under the name uncultured bacterium. RNAcentral describes it as "partial 16S ribosomal RNA". It matches the Rfam family "Bacterial small subunit ribosomal RNA", at positions 524 to 776 of the family's 1533-position model. The record is from RNAcentral.
UACGUAGGUGACAAGCGUUGUCCGGAUUUACUGGGCGUAAAGAGCGCGCAGGCGGUCGUUCAAGUCGAGUGUGAAAGCCCCCGGCUCAACUGGGGAGGGUCAUUCGAUACUGAUCGACUCGAAGGCAGGAGAGGGUAGUGGAAUUCCUGGUGUAGCGGUGAAAUGCGCAGAUAUCAGGAGGAACACCGGUGGCGAAGGCGGUUCUCUGGGCAUGAUCUGACGCUGAGGAGCGAAAGUGUGGGGAGCGAACAGG